CUAGCCGUUGGGACUCUUGAAGUCUUAGUGGCGCAGCUAACGCACUAAGUAGACCGCCUGGGGAGUACGGCCGCAAGGUUAAAACUCAAAUGAAUUGACGGGGGCCCGCACAAGCGGUGGAGCAUGUGGUUUAAUUCGACGCAACGCGAAGAACCUUACCUGGCCUUGACAUGCAGAGAACUUUCCAGAGAUGGAUUGGUGCCUUCGGGAACUCUGACACAGGUGCUGCAUGGCCGUCGUCAGCUCGUGUCGUGAGAUGUUGGGUUAAGUCCCGUAACGAGCGCAACCCCUAUCCCUAGUUGCUAGCAGUUCGGCUGAGAACUCUAGGGAGACUGCCGGUGACAAACCGGAGGAAGGUGGGGAUGACGUCAGGUCAUCAUGGCCCUUACGGCCAGGGCUACACACGUGCUACAGUGGUGCGUACAGAGGGCUGCAAACCCGCGAGGGGGAGCUAAUCUCACAAAACGCAUCGUAGUCCGGAUCGGAGUCUGCAACUCGACUCCGUGAAGUCGGAAUCGCUAGUAAUCGCGAAUCAGAAUGUCGCGGUGAAUACGUUCCCGGGCCUUGUACACACCGCCCGUCACACCAUGGGAGUGGAUUGCACCAGAAGUGGUUAGUCUAACCUUCGGGAGGACGAU
This 638-nucleotide ribosomal RNA is filed under the name uncultured bacterium. RNAcentral's name for it is "bacterial SSU rRNA". It matches the Rfam family "Bacterial small subunit ribosomal RNA", at positions 816 to 1454 of the family's 1533-position model. The record is from RNAcentral.